Molecule: transfer RNA, 84 nt
Filed under: Candidatus Gottesmanbacteria bacterium RIFCSPHIGHO2_01_FULL_40_15
Lineage: Bacteria; Candidatus Gottesmaniibacteriota
Also listed under: 4 other names
Description: tRNA-Leu
Rfam family: tRNA
About the family: Transfer RNA (tRNA) molecules are approximately 80 nucleotides in length. Their secondary structure includes four short double-helical elements and three loops (D, anti-codon, and T loops).
Source: RNAcentral
GCCGGGGUGGCGAAAUUGGCAGACGCGCAGGAUUUAGGAUCCUGUUCCCGAAAGGGAGUAGAGGUUCAAGUCCUCUUCCCGGCA